Molecule: long non-coding RNA, 1238 nt
Organism: Emys orbicularis (European pond turtle)
Lineage: Eukaryota; Metazoa; Chordata; Testudines; Emydidae
Exons: 4
Source: RefSeq, a predicted model, not a curated record
CGCUGCGGCUCGUGCUGUGCGCGCUGGGGCUGGCGCUCUCCGUGUACGCGCUGCACGUGGAGAGCUCGCGGGAGCGGGCCCCCGGGUACCGGGCCAUGUGCGACCUGAGCCCCUCCGUCAGCUGCUCCAAGGUCUUCACCUCCAGGCUUCGGAGAGCUGCCAAUCUCGCACCAACAGGUCCAGAGCCUGCAACAGAGAGCGCAGGAGAAGGGUCACACUGGGGCUGGGAGCACAGAGAGGAGACCAGAGCUGGAGGCUGCUGCCGAACCCAGCCACCGACAUCGAGAUCCUGGGCAUGACGGGACGCGCUAGACAUCAAUGAGAAGAACCCCAGUGAUUCGGGAGGAAAUCGGAAAACUGAAAAAGUCCAGUUUCCAUUUAGAUCUGGCUGGUUCCUGCCAAUCCAGGCUGAGUGUCUGGGCGCAGGGCAGGUGGAGGUGUCUCCUGCCCCAUACUCAGCAAAUGCAGAGCGCAGGGCUGGGCGGCACGGGUCUACUGGGGCGUCGCUUCAAGAGGGCCGAGGUACGGCUGGGCUGGCGUUUCCCUUAACUCUGCAGGCCCUGGUUUGGCUGAGCACGACACUCUGGAUGGGCACAUGUGGCCCCCCACCAGAAAGCCCUGCUGGAACUGGUCAGUCUUGAGAAAUGCUGAUUUAUUGGGGGGAAGAGGGGGAGCUCUAUCUGGCCCUUGCUCCGCCCGCCCCAGCUUUGGGUCACCAAACCCACUGGGCGCCACCACGAGGCUCCCGACCCUCCCGGCAACCUGAGUCCGCAGGCGCAUUGCAGAUCAUUUAGGGGAGUCGACCAGGACACAGAAAUCUCUUCUCCACCUGUAAUGACCAACCACCCAGAGCUACAGGGCUAAUGAAUAAGAGCCGCCAGAUAAUGGUAAUUAACCGUGAAUACGACAAUUGCAAAUAUUUAAUAAAUACUCAUCACUGGUACUGUUUAGACUCUGCAUCUGAAGCCCGGCCUAGCGGGAGAUCUCUGGGACUUUCUAACCAUCAAUAACAGCCCCAAAGCCUAUAGACUUCCCCUUCUCCAAUCCUAACAGCGCCUGGACUCCUGGGUCCUUCCCAGCAGGGCCAAGGCUGAGAGGUCAGUGUCAGUAGAGCCGUGUGUAUCCCCUGCCCCACCCACCUCCAGAUAAUCUGCCUCCGUCCGCGUAAACAUGCUGGAAAUGUUAAAAAUCUAGAAAAUAAUCAAAAGAAAAGGUGAGCGCCCCCUGCCGAGCCCCAC